GAUGAACGUUGGCGGCGUGCCUAAUACAUGCAAGUCGAACGGAGAUUGUAGCAAUACGGUCUCAGUGGCGAACGGGUGAGUAACGCGUUGGUGACCUGCCCCGAAGUGUGGAAUAACAGAUCGAAAGAGCUGCUAAUACCGCAUACGCUUUCCGGGACACAAGUGCCGGAAAGGAAAGAUGGCCUCUACAUGAAAGCUAUCACUUAUGGAUGGACCCGCGUCUGAUUAGCUAGUUGGUGGGGUAGAAGCCUACCAAGGCGACGAUCAGUAGCCGGCCUGAGAGGGUGGACGGCCACACUGGGACUGAGACACGGCCCAGACUCCUACGGG
Molecule: ribosomal RNA, 330 nt
Filed under: uncultured bacterium
Lineage: Bacteria
Description: bacterial SSU rRNA
Rfam family: Bacterial small subunit ribosomal RNA
Source: RNAcentral